RNAcentral lists this ribosomal RNA (253 nucleotides) under uncultured bacterium. RNAcentral describes it as "partial 16S ribosomal RNA". It matches the Rfam family "Bacterial small subunit ribosomal RNA", at positions 524 to 776 of the family's 1533-position model. The record is from RNAcentral.
CACGGGGGGUACAAGCGUUAAUCGGAAUUACUGGGCGUAAAGCGUGCGCAGGCGGCUGGGUAAGUUGGAUGUGAAAGCCCCGGGCUCAACCUGGGAACUGCAUUCAAAACUGCCCGACUAGAGUAAGGUAGAGGGUGAUGGAAUUUCCUGUGUAGCAGUAAAAUGCUUAGAGAUUGGAAGGAACACCAGAAGCGAAGGCGAUCACCUGGGCCUUUACUGACGCUGAGGCACGAAAGCGUGGGGAUCAAACAGG